This is a long non-coding RNA of Bufo gargarizans (Asiatic toad), 542 nucleotides long. RefSeq lists it as uncharacterized. The record is from RefSeq and is a predicted model, not a curated record. NCBI's taxonomy places the organism in Eukaryota, Metazoa, Chordata, Amphibia, Anura, Bufonidae. The transcript is spliced from 2 exons.
UCCCGUUGCCUCUCGGAGAGGUUGUUGAGCCUCUGCCAGAGGAAUUUGGGGAGCAUGUGGCGGUUGGGGUCAUAACAGUAAGCAGUACUUGGGCGCCCGAAGUUCCCCAGGAGCCGGCCACCGCGGGUCCCUCUCGUCCAGCUCAAGUAACUGGUCAGGACCUCAAUGUUCCCCUACCUGUGCCCUUUGGCGACGCAAAGGAGUCUGGUGCAUCAAUAUUUGAUAUUGUUACUCCCCGUGAUGGGAACCGUUCACGCCCGACCAGCUGUUUGAGGCCAGAAGACAAGUGGACUGCGUCUUGUGGCAAGUGCAACACCGCCCCACAUCCCUUCCCCCGCCCCAGCCCUAUCCCAGUCCCAAACCCCCAAGCCAUUUUCUCACCACGUUUCUCCCUCUCCUCCUCAUUACUAUCCUCCAACCUCUUUCACCACUCCCUCUACUCUAGCUCGGUAAAGUCCAUCUCCUGCCCAAUCCUCAAUCCUGUUUUUUGGAAUAUAUUUAUUUAAAAAUUUUAUUUAUUCUUAAUAAAUGUUUGUAUUGAA